RNAcentral lists this ribosomal RNA (207 nucleotides) under Pseudomonas aeruginosa. Its description in RNAcentral is "partial 16S ribosomal RNA". It matches the Rfam family "Bacterial small subunit ribosomal RNA", at positions 1 to 211 of the family's 1533-position model. Lineage: Bacteria; Pseudomonadati; Pseudomonadota; Gammaproteobacteria; Pseudomonadales; Pseudomonadaceae. RNAcentral also lists the same sequence under 4 other names. The record is from RNAcentral.
AAAUUGAAGAGUUUGAUCAUGGCUCAGAUUGAACGCUGGCGGCAGGCCUAACACAUGCAAGUCGAGCGGUAGCACAGAGAGCUUGCUCUCGGGUGACGAGCGGCGGACGGGUGAGUAAUGUCUGGGAAACUGCCUGAUGGAGGGGGAUAACUACUGGAAACGGUAGCUAAUACCGCAUAACGUCGCAAGACCAAAGUGGGGGACCUU